AGAACGAACGCUGGCGGCAUGCCUAACACAUGCAAGUCGGACGCUUUCGGGGGUUUCGGCCUCCGAGGGAGUGGCGGACGGGUGAGUAGCGCGUGGGAACCUGCCCCUUUGUGGGGGAUAACCGAGGGAAACUUCGGCUAAUACCGCAUGCGCCCGGGGGUAACUCCGGGGAAAGAUUUAUCGCAGAGGGAGGGGCCCGCGUCGGAUUAGGUAGUUGGUGAGGUAACGGCUCACCAAGGCUAUGAUCGUUAGCUGGUCUGAGAGGAUGGCCAGCCACACUGGAACUGAGACACGGUCCAGACUCCUACGGGAGGCAGCAGUGGGGAAUCUUGCACAAUGGGCGAAAGCCUGAUGCAGCGACGCCGCGUGGGGAUGAAGCUUCUCGGAGUGUAAACCCCUUUCGACCCGGACGAAUCGCCCGCAAGGGGACUGGACGGUACGGGUAUAAGAAGCCCCGGCUAACUACGUGCCAGCAGCCGC
Molecule: ribosomal RNA, 480 nt
Filed under: uncultured bacterium
Lineage: Bacteria
Description: SSU rRNA
Rfam family: Bacterial small subunit ribosomal RNA
Source: RNAcentral